RNAcentral lists this ribosomal RNA (253 nucleotides) under uncultured bacterium. RNAcentral describes it as "partial 16S ribosomal RNA". It matches the Rfam family "Bacterial small subunit ribosomal RNA", at positions 524 to 776 of the family's 1533-position model. The record is from RNAcentral.
UACGGGGGGGGCAAGCGCUGUUCGGAAUUACUGGGCGUAAAGGGCUCGUAGGUGGCCAACUAAGUCAGACGUGAAAUCCCUCGGCUUAACCGGGGAACUGCGUCUGAUACUGGAUGGCUUGAGUUCGGGAGAGGGAUGCGGAAUUCCAGGUGUAGCGGUGAAAUGCGUAGAUAUCUGGAGGAACACCGGUGGCGAAGGCGGCAUCCUGGACCGAUACUGACGCUGAGGAGCGAAAGCCAGGGGAGCAAACGGG